GAUGAACGCUGGCGGCGUGCCUAAUACAUGCAAGUCGAGCGAACGGACGAGAAGCUUGCUUUUCUGAUGUUAGCGGCGGACGGGUGAGUAACACGUGGAUAACCUACCUAUAAGACUGGGAUAACUUCGGGAAACCGGAGCUAAUACCGGAUAAUAUUUUGAACCGCAUGGUUCAAAAGUGAAAGACGGUCUUGCUGUCACUUAUAGAUGGAUCCGCGCUGCAUUAGCUAGUUGGUAAGGUAACGGCUUACCAAGGCAACGAUGCAUAGCCGACCUGAGAGGGUGAUCGGCCACACUGGAACUGAGACACGCACCACACUCCUACGGGAGGCAGCAGUAGGGAAUCUUCCGCAAUGGGCGAAAGCCUGACGGAGCAACGCCGCGUGAGUGAUGAAGGUCUUCGGAUCGUAAAACUCUGUUAUUAGGGAAGAACAUAUGUGUAAGUAACUGUGCACAUCUUGACGGUACCUAAUCAGAAAGCCACGGCUAACUACGUG
This 497-nucleotide ribosomal RNA is filed under the name uncultured bacterium. Its description in RNAcentral is "partial 16S ribosomal RNA". It matches the Rfam family "Bacterial small subunit ribosomal RNA", at positions 28 to 507 of the family's 1533-position model. The record is from RNAcentral.